GUCUCCCACCAUAUCACCCUGAGCAUACCCAUCUCAUUUGAUUUUGGAAGCUAAGCAGGGUUGGGCCUGGUUAGUAUUUAGAAGGAAGAAAUUAAUUCAAAGCAAAGAAAGACA
This 114-nucleotide ribosomal RNA is filed under the name Erinaceus europaeus (western European hedgehog). Lineage: Eukaryota; Metazoa; Chordata; Mammalia; Eulipotyphla; Erinaceidae. The record is from RNAcentral.